RNAcentral lists this ribosomal RNA (521 nucleotides) under uncultured bacterium. Its description in RNAcentral is "bacterial SSU rRNA". It matches the Rfam family "Bacterial small subunit ribosomal RNA", at positions 791 to 1306 of the family's 1533-position model. The record is from RNAcentral.
UAGUCCUAGCCGUAAACGAUGAGCACUAGUCCGUGGGAACUUCCACAUUUUCUCGGACGUAGCGAAAGUGUUAAGUGCUCCGCCUGGGGAGUAUGGUCGCAAGGUUGAAACUCAAAGGAAUUGACGGGGGCUCACACAAGCGGUGGAGGAUGUGGCUUAAUUCGAGGCUACGCGAAGAACCUUAUCCUAGUCUUGACAUAGUUGAGAAUACCUCUGAAAGGAGGUAGUGCCUUUCGGGAGCUCUUCUACAGGUGCUGCAUGGCUGUCGUCAGCUCGUGUCGUGAGAUGUCGGGUUAAGUCCCUUAACGAGCGAAACCCUUGUCUCUAGUUGCCAGCGUGUAAUGGCGGGGACUCUAGAGAGACUGCCGGUGUUAAACCGGAGGAAGGUGGGGAUGACGUCAAGUCCUCAUGGCCUUUAUGACUAGGGGCUGCACACGUCCUACAAUGCAACGUACAAACGGAAGCAAACCCGUGAGGGGGAGCAAACCCGAAAAAGCGUUGCUCAGUUCGGAUUGCAGGCU